Acanthosepion pharaonis is the source of this 101-nucleotide non-coding RNA. NCBI's taxonomy places the organism in Eukaryota, Metazoa, Mollusca, Cephalopoda, Sepiida, Sepiidae. The record is from the annotation of a GenBank genome assembly.
CACGUUGAAACACCGGUUCCCGUGCAAUCACCGAAAUUAAGCAACGCCGAGUCUGGUCAGUACCUAGAUGGUGACCAGUUGGGAAUAUCAGGUGCUGUAAG